RNAcentral lists this ribosomal RNA (345 nucleotides) under uncultured bacterium. Its description in RNAcentral is "bacterial SSU rRNA". It matches the Rfam family "Bacterial small subunit ribosomal RNA", at positions 28 to 355 of the family's 1533-position model. The record is from RNAcentral.
GAUAAACGCUGGCGGCGUGCAUAACACAUUCAAGUCGAACGGGAAUCUGAUGAUUGAGACUUCGGUUGAUUGAUUCAGAGGAUAGUGGCGGACGGGUGAGUAACGCGUGAGCAACCUGCCUCUGUGAGGGGAACAACGCAUGGAAACGUGCGCUAAUACCGCAUAACGCAUACUUAUUGCAUGGUAGGUAUGUUAAAGGAGCAAUCCGCAUAGAGAUGGGCUCGCGUCUGAUUAGAUAGUUGGUGAGGUAACGGCUCACCAAGUCGACGAUCAGUAGCCGGACUGAGAGGUUGAACGGCCACAUUGGAACUGAGAAACGGUCCAGACUCCUACGGAGGCAGCAGU